RNAcentral lists this ribosomal RNA (1792 nucleotides) under human gut metagenome. Its description in RNAcentral is "bacterial LSU rRNA". It matches the Rfam family "Bacterial large subunit ribosomal RNA", at positions 502 to 2312 of the family's 2925-position model. The record is from RNAcentral.
CGUGAGGGAAAGGUGAAAAGGACCCCGGGAGGGGAGUGAAAGAGAACCUGAAACCCUAUGUUUACAAGCAGAUAAAGCGAAUUAAGGCGCGAUAUCGUACUUUUUGUAGAACGGUCCAGCGAGUUAUUGUAUAUGGCGAGGUUAAGUUGUAAGUAAGCAACGAAGCCGGAGUGAAAGCGAGUCUGAAGAGGGCGUAAAAGUCAUAUGUAAUAGACCCGAAACCGGGUGACCUAUCCAUGGUCAGGAUGAAGCUAAAGUAAAAUUUAGUGGAGGUCCGAACUGAUUGUCGUUAAAAAGGCACCGGAUGAACUGUGGAUAGCGGAGAAAUUCCAAUCGAACUCGGAGAUAGCUGGUUCUCCUCGAAAUAGCUUUAGGGCUAGCCUCGUUUUAGUCUUGUGGAGGUAGAGCACUGAAUUUCCGCGGGGGCGUCAAAGCUUACCAAAGAAUAUCAAACUCCGAAUGCCAUUAAGAUGAUGAACGGGAGUCAGACUGUACGAGAUAAGUUGGACAGUCAAAAGGGAAAGAGCCCAGACCUGCAGCUAAGGCCCCAAAAUGUGUGUUAAGUGGAAAAGGAUGUGGGAUUUCGAAGACAACUAGGAUGUUGGCUCAGAAGCAGCCAUUCAUUCAAAGAGUGCGUAACAGCUCACUAGUCGAGAGUCCCUGCGCCGAAAAUGUCCGGGGCUGAAACACAACACCGAAGCUGUGGAAUCAUACCUAGUAUGAUUGGUAGAGGAGCAUUCUUAAGACCGACGAAGCUGUACCGGUAAGGAGCAGUGGAGGGAUAAGAAGAGAGAAUGCCGGAAUGAGUAGCGAGAGGAAGGUGAGAAUCCUUCCGGCCGAAUAUCCAAGGAUUCCAGGGUAAAGCUGAUCUGCCCUGGGUAAGUCGGGACCUAAGGAGAGGCCGAGAGGCGUAUCCGAUGGACAACAGGUUUAGAUUCCUGUACCACAUAUGGUCAGAACUGUGGGGACGCAGAAGGAAAGCAUGAGCCAGGAAUGGAAAGACUGGUACAAGCAGAGGGGAUGGUGUGCUGGCAAAUCCGCACACGAAAGUCCUUGCUGUGAUGUGGAGCGAACCAAAGUAGCGAAGCAUGCGGACCGGCUGCCGAGAAAAGCCGCUAUUGUGCCAUAUGUGCCCGUACCGUAAACCGACACAGGUGGAUGAGGAGAGAAUCCUAAGGCCGACGGAAGAAGUAUUGUUAAGGAACUCGGCAAAAUGACCCCGUAACUUCGGGAGAAGGGGUGCCUGAGAAAUCAGGCCGCAGAGAAUAGGCUCAAGCAACUGUUUAGCAAAAACACAGGUCUAUGCAAAACCGAAAGGUGAAGUAUAUGGGCUGACGCCUGCCCGGUGCUGGAAGGUUAAGAGGAGAGGUUAGCGCAAGCGAAGCUUUGAAUUUAAGCCCCAGUAAACGGCGGCCGUAACUAUAACGGUCCUAAGGUAGCGAAAUUCCUUGUCGGGUAAGUUCCGACCCGCACGAAAGGCGUAAUGAUUUGAGCGCUGUCUCGACAAUGCACCCGGUGAAAUUGAAAUACCAGUGAAGAUGCUGGUUACCCGCGCCAGGACGGAAAGACCCCAUGGAGCUUUACUCCAGUUUGGUACUGGGAUUCGGUACUGCAUGUACAGGAUAGGUGGGAGACGAAGAAGUUAGGACGCCAGUCUUAACAGAGUCGCUGUUGGGAUACCACCCUUGCAGUAUUGGGUUUCUAACCAGCCGCUGUGAACCAGCGGUGGGACAAUGCCAGGCGGGGAGUUUGACUGGGGCGGUCGCCUCCGAAAGGGUAUCGGAGGCGCUCA